Molecule: unclassified non-coding RNA, 162 nt
Filed under: uncultured fungus
Lineage: Eukaryota; Fungi
Description: sequence contains ITS1
Source: RNAcentral
UUGACUUCCCUCGAGCUCGCUCAGAGUGCCGACGAAAGGCGGGUUGCGGGGGGCCGGCGGCGGGCGCGGGGGCCCGCCGGGGCAACAGGGAGGCUGGUUCACAGGUUUUCAGAGGGUAGAGAACGCUCUGUAAUGAUCCCUCCGCUGGUUCACCAACGGAGA